Molecule: ribosomal RNA, 950 nt
Filed under: uncultured bacterium
Lineage: Bacteria
Description: bacterial SSU rRNA
Rfam family: Bacterial small subunit ribosomal RNA
Source: RNAcentral
AGAGUUUGAUCAUGGCUCAGGAUGAACGCUAGCGACAGGCCUAACACAUGCAAGUCGAGGGGCAUCGGGACGUAGCAAUACGUUGCCGGCGACCGGCGGAUGGGUGAGUAACGCGUAUGCAACCUACCCGCAGCAGGGGGAUAGCCCGUUGAAAGACGGAUUAAUACCCCGUAACACAGGGGCUCCGCAUGGAGAUUAUUGUUAAAGGGUCAUUUCUUUUUCAGGGAUGGUCCGGCUGCGGAUGGGCAUGCGUUCCAUUAGGUAGUUGGUGUAGGUAAUGGCUCACCAAGCCGACGAUGGAUAGGGGAACUGAGAGGUUGGUCCCCCACACUGGUACUGAGACACGGACCAGACUCCUACGGGAGGCAGCAGUGAGGAAUUUUGGUCAAUGGACGCAAGUCUGAACCAGCCAUGUCGCGUGAGGGAGGACGGCCCUAAGGGUUGUAAACUUCUUUUGCAGUGGAAUAAAGUUUGCCACGUGUUGGCGAUUUGCAAGUACGCUGCGAAUAAGGAUCGGCUAACUCCGUGCCAGCAGCCGCGGUAAUACGGAGGAUCCAGGCGUUAUCCGGAUUUAUUGGGUUUAAAGGGUGCGCAGGCGGGGAAUUAGGUCGGCGGUGAAAUUUCGGGGCUCAACCUCGACAGUGCCGUUGAAACCGUUUCUCUUGAGUGCGGAUGAGGUAGGCGGAAUUUGUGGUGUAGCGGUGAAAUGCGUAGAUAUCACAAGGAACACCGAUUGCGGAGGCAGCUUACUAAACCGUUACUGACGCUCAUGCACGAAGGCGUGGGGAUCAAACAGGAUUAGAUACCCUGGUAGUCCACGCAGUAAACGAUGAUUACUUGCUGUUUGCGAUACACAGUAAGCGGCGAAGCGAAAGCGUUAAGUAAUCCACCUGGGGAGUACGUUCGCAAGAAUGAAACUCAAGGAAUUGACGGGGGCCCGCACAAGCGGA